AUUGAACGCUGGCGGAAUGCUUUACACAUGCAAGUCGAACGGCAGCAUAGAGAGCUUGCUCUCUGAUGGCGAGUGGCGAACGGGUGAGUAAUAUAUCGGAACGUACCUAGUAAUGGGGAACAACUAGCCGAAAGGUUAGCUAAUACCGCAUACGACCUACGGGUGAAAGCAGGGGAUCUUCGGACCUUGCGUUAUUAGAGCGGCCGAUAUCUGAUUAGGUAGUUGGUGGGGUAAAAGCCUACCAAGCCAACGAUCAGUAGCUGGUCUGAGAGGACGAUCAGCCACACUGGAACUGAGACACGGUCCAGACUCCUACGGGAGGCAGCAGUGGGGAAUUUUGGACAAUGGGGGCAACCCUGAUCCAGCCAUUCCGCGUGAGUGAAGAAGGCCUUCGGGUUGUAAAGCUCUUUCACAAGAGAAGAAAUCUUACUAUCAAAUAAAUAGUAAGGAUGACGGUAUCUUGAGAAGAAGCACCGGCUAACUACGUGCCAGCAGCCGCGGUAAUACGUAGGGUGCGAGCGUUAAUCGGAAUUACUGGGCGUAAAGCGUGCGCAGGCGGUUUUAUAAGUCAGAUGUGAAAUCCCCGAGCUCAACUUGGGAACUGCGUUUGAAACUGUAAGACUAGAGUGUGUCAGAGGGGGGUAGAAUUCCAUGUGUAGCAGUGAAAUGCGUAGAUAUAUGGAGGAAUACCAAUGGCGAAGGCAGCCCCCUGGGAUAACACUGACGCUCAGCAC
This 734-nucleotide ribosomal RNA is filed under the name bacterium IMCC11297. RNAcentral's name for it is "bacterial SSU rRNA". It matches the Rfam family "Bacterial small subunit ribosomal RNA", at positions 28 to 754 of the family's 1533-position model. The record is from RNAcentral.